RNAcentral lists this ribosomal RNA (331 nucleotides) under uncultured Actinomycetes bacterium. Its description in RNAcentral is "bacterial SSU rRNA". It matches the Rfam family "Bacterial small subunit ribosomal RNA", at positions 28 to 351 of the family's 1533-position model. The record is from RNAcentral. Lineage: Bacteria; Bacillati; Actinomycetota; Actinomycetes.
GACGAACGCUGGCGGCGUGCCUAACACAUGCAAGUCGAGCGGGGUCCAACUGGGGGGCAACCCCAGGGAAGACCUAGCGGCGAACGGGUGAGUAACACGUGAGGAACCUGCCCUGGAGUGCAGGAUAACUCGGGGAAACCCGGGCUAAUACUGCAUACCUUCUUCGAUCGGCAUCGUUUGAAGAAGAAAGAAUCUCGCUCUGGGAGGGUCUCGCGGCCUAUCAGCUUGUUGGUGGGGUAACGGCCUACCAAGGCAACGACGGGUAGCUGGUCUGAGAGGACGAUCAGCCACACUGGGACUGAGACACGGCCCAGACUCCUACGGGUGGCUG